AUGAGAUCUCCCUUCGGUAAGGCCACUCGUAGACCACGAGUUCGAUAGGCCGCAGGUGCAAGGCGGGCGACCGCCUCAGCCGAGCGGCACUAAUCGGCCGAGCUCCU
RNAcentral lists this ribosomal RNA (107 nucleotides) under Olsenella sp. KH3B4. RNAcentral's name for it is "23S rRNA. Bacterial LSU". It matches the Rfam family "Bacterial large subunit ribosomal RNA", at positions 2804 to 2925 of the family's 2925-position model. Lineage: Bacteria; Bacillati; Actinomycetota; Coriobacteriia; Coriobacteriales; Atopobiaceae. The record is from RNAcentral.